RNAcentral lists this ribosomal RNA (253 nucleotides) under uncultured bacterium. Its description in RNAcentral is "partial 16S ribosomal RNA". It matches the Rfam family "Bacterial small subunit ribosomal RNA", at positions 524 to 776 of the family's 1533-position model. The record is from RNAcentral.
UACGGAGGGGGCUAGCGUUGUUCGGUAUUACUGGGCGUAAAGCGCACGUAGGCGGCUUUGUAAGUUAGAGGUGAAAGCCCGGGGCUCAACUCCGGAACUGCCUUUAAGACUGCAUCGCUUGAAUCCAGGAGAGGUGAGUGGAAUUCCGAGUGUAGAGGUGAAAUUCGUAGAUAUUCGGAAGAACACCAGUGGCGAAGGCGGCUCACUGGACUGGUAUUGACGCUGAGGUGCGAAAGCGUGGGGAGCGAACGGG